Molecule: unclassified non-coding RNA, 943 nt
Filed under: Hevea brasiliensis (rubber tree)
Lineage: Eukaryota; Viridiplantae; Streptophyta; Magnoliopsida; Malpighiales; Euphorbiaceae
Source: RNAcentral
GGAUGGCCCACUCUGGAGAGAUAAACUCACAUGGUCAUUGUAUGUUAGCAGCCAAUAAACACUCCCUUGUAGGUCAUAAUCGAACCACCUCGGCACCCAGCACACUAUCUAAUUCAAACUUUUCACCGACAAUUCCUGGUGAUGGAAAUGAAGUGUUCUCAAUGUCAGCAGCAGCUGCGACUGAUGCGUGUGAUGUAUCAGAAUCCCAACCUGCUGCUCCAUUGUCUGUUCUACAAGGGGAGCCGGAAUUCCCAUCCAUGCCAGAGACAAGAGUUCGAAAUCAAUCCAUCUGGCUUAGACCUUCUGAGAGAUUUCCUAGAAUAGUUUCUUCUGCUACGGUUGAAAGAAGGGCUGAUCUUUUGGAACUUGAGGAGCAAGUUAGGAAGCUGGUUCAGGAUUUGAGUAGCAAUUCCAUUGAUGUGCAAAGAGAUGCCACAGCUGAACUCCGGUUACUUGCCAAGCACAAUAUGGAUAAUCGUAUUGUAAUGGCAAAUUGUGGUUCCAUCAACUUGUUGGUCAACUUACUUCAUUCAGAAGAUAUGAAUGUACAGGAAAAUGCUGUUACCACACUUCUCAACUUAUCAAUUAAUGACAACAACAAGUGUUUGAUUGCAAAUGCUGAUGCAAUUGAACCUCUGAUUCAUGUCCUACACACAGGGAGUGGUGAGGCUAAAGAAAACUCGGCUGCUACACUUUUUAGCCUUUCUGUUAUUGAGGAUAACAAGAUGAAGAUUGGGAGGUCUGGUGCUAUCAAGCCUCUUGUGGAUUUAUUGGGAAAUGGAAGUCCUAGGGGCAAGAAAGACGCAGCGACAGCUUUGUUUAAUUUGUCAAUACUUCAUGAAAACAAGGGUCGCAUUGUGCAGGCUGGUGCUGUUAAGUUCCUUGUAGAGUUGAUGGACCCUGCUGCUGGGAUGGUUGACAAGGCUGGUGCUGUUAAGUUCCU